UACGUAGGGUGCAAGCGUUGUCCGGAAUUAUUGGGCGUAAAGAGCUCGUAGGCGGUUUGUCGCGCCUGCUGUGAAAACUCGGGGCUUAACCCCGGGCCUGCAGUGGGUACGGGCAGACUAGAGUGCGGUAGGGGAGACUGGAAUUCCUGGUGUAGCGGUGAAAUGCGCAGAUAUCAGGAGGAACACCGGUGGCGAAGGCGGGUCUCUGGGCCGUAACUGACGCUGAGGAGCGAAAGCGUGGGGAGCGAACAGG
This 253-nucleotide ribosomal RNA is filed under the name uncultured bacterium. RNAcentral describes it as "partial 16S ribosomal RNA". It matches the Rfam family "Bacterial small subunit ribosomal RNA", at positions 524 to 776 of the family's 1533-position model. The record is from RNAcentral.